UGCAUGUCAUGUGACUUCGGCCAGGAACCCAAGCUGAGUUAGAUUCAUGUCACCCAUGUGUUUAAUCAAUCCAGUUUAAUCUUUAUCUAUCUUUGCCCGGACGAAGCAUUGUGGUUUCACACUUCCUUGAAACCAUUAAACCUGUGGACAAAAGGUCAA
Molecule: long non-coding RNA, 159 nt
Organism: Xiphophorus couchianus (Monterrey platyfish)
Lineage: Eukaryota; Metazoa; Chordata; Actinopteri; Cyprinodontiformes; Poeciliidae
Exons: 2
Source: RefSeq, a predicted model, not a curated record